UACGUAGGGUGCAGGCGUUACUCGGAAUUACUGGGCGUAAAGCGUGCGUAGGCGGCUCCUUAAGUCAGAUGUGAAAUCCCCGGGCUUAACCUGGGAACUGCGUUUGAAACUGGGGAGCUGGAGUGUAGAAGAGGGGCGUGGAAUUCCAGGUGUAGCAGUGAAAUGCGUAGAGAUCUGGAGGAACACCGAUGGCGAAGGCAGCCCUCUGGGCUGACACUGACGCUCAUGCACGAAAGCGUGGGGAGCAAACAGG
This 253-nucleotide ribosomal RNA is filed under the name uncultured bacterium. RNAcentral describes it as "partial 16S ribosomal RNA". It matches the Rfam family "Bacterial small subunit ribosomal RNA", at positions 524 to 776 of the family's 1533-position model. The record is from RNAcentral.